RNAcentral lists this ribosomal RNA (421 nucleotides) under uncultured bacterium. RNAcentral describes it as "bacterial SSU rRNA". It matches the Rfam family "Bacterial small subunit ribosomal RNA", at positions 354 to 774 of the family's 1533-position model. The record is from RNAcentral.
GUAAGGAAUAUUGCUCAAUGGGAGAAAUCCUGAAGCAGCAACGCCGCGUGGAGGAUGAAGGGUCUAUGACUUGUAAACUCCUGUAAAGAAGGAAAAAAUUCCCAUUUGAUGGGAGAUGAUGGUACUUCUGGAGUAAGCCCCGGCUAACUACAUGCCAGCAGCCGCGGUAAUACGUAGGGGGCAAGCGUUGUCCGGAUUUACUGGGUGUAAAGGGUGCUCAGGCGGAUUUGUAAGUCAGAGGUGAAAUCUUACAGCUUAACUGUGAAACUGCCUUUGAUACUGCAAGCCUAGAGUAUGGAAGAGAGUGAUGGAAUAUCUGGUGUAGCAGUGAAAUGCGUAGAUAUCAGAUAGAACACCAAUGGCGAAGGCAGUCACUUGGUCCAUUACUGACGCUAAAGCACGAAAGCGUGGGUAGCAAACA